UAAGACGAACCGUCCUAACGUUGUUCGGAAUCACUGGGCUUAAAGGGCGCGUAGGCGGCUUGCCAAGUCAGGGGUGAAAUCCUGCAGCUUAACUGUAGAAGGGCCUUUGAUACUGGCGAGCUCGAGGGAGGUAGGGGUAUGUGGAACUUCCGGUGGAGCGGUGAAAUGCGUUGAUAUCGGAAGGAACGCCGGUGGCGAAAGCGACGUACUGGACCUCUUCUGACGCUGAGGCGCGAAAGCUAGGGGAGCAAACGGGAUUAGAUACCCCGGUAGUCCUAGCCCUAAACGAUGGGUACUAGAUUGUAGACUUGACAUGGGUUUACAAUCGAAGCAAAAGUGUUAAGUACCCCGCCUGGGGAGUAUGGUCGCAAGGCUG
This 376-nucleotide ribosomal RNA is filed under the name uncultured bacterium. RNAcentral describes it as "bacterial SSU rRNA". It matches the Rfam family "Bacterial small subunit ribosomal RNA", at positions 521 to 896 of the family's 1533-position model. The record is from RNAcentral.